RNAcentral lists this transfer RNA (72 nucleotides) under Planctomycetaceae bacterium. Its description in RNAcentral is "tRNA-Ser". It matches the Rfam family "tRNA". Rfam says of the family: Transfer RNA (tRNA) molecules are approximately 80 nucleotides in length. Their secondary structure includes four short double-helical elements and three loops (D, anti-codon, and T loops). Lineage: Bacteria; Pseudomonadati; Planctomycetota; Planctomycetia; Planctomycetales; Planctomycetaceae. The record is from RNAcentral.
GCAUCGAUGGUCCAACUGGAAGGGCGCGCGACUGCUUGUCGCGAGAUAGAAGUUCGAAUCUUCUUCGAUGCA